This 159-nucleotide ribosomal RNA is filed under the name uncultured bacterium. RNAcentral describes it as "partial 16S ribosomal RNA". It matches the Rfam family "Bacterial small subunit ribosomal RNA", at positions 355 to 509 of the family's 1533-position model. The record is from RNAcentral.
UGAGGAAUAUUGGUCAAUGGGCGGGAGACCUGAACCAGCCAAGUCGCGUGAGGGAAGACGGUCCUAUGGAUUGUAAACCUCUUUUGUCGGGGAGCAAAGAGGCCACGUGUGGUCAAAAGCGAGAGUACCCGAAGAAAAAGCAUCGGCUAACUCCGUGCC